UACGGGGGGGGUAAGCGUUGUUCGGAAUUACUGGGCGUAAAGGGCUCGUAGGCGGCCAACUAAGUCAGACGUGAAAUCCCUCAGCUUAACUGGGGAACUGCGUCUGAUACUGGAUGGCUUGGAUCCGGGAGAGGGAUGCGGAAUUCCAGGUGUAGCGGUGAAAUGCGUAGAUAUCUGGAGGAACACCGGUGGCGGAGGCGGCAUCCUGGACCGGUAUUGACGCUGAGGAGCGAAAGCCAGGGGAGCAAACGGG
This 253-nucleotide ribosomal RNA is filed under the name uncultured bacterium. Its description in RNAcentral is "partial 16S ribosomal RNA". It matches the Rfam family "Bacterial small subunit ribosomal RNA", at positions 524 to 776 of the family's 1533-position model. The record is from RNAcentral.